GACUCGUCACACUAUCAUUAACUGAAUCCAUAGGUUAAUGAGGCGAACCGGGGGAACUGAAACAUCUAAGUACCCCGAGGAAAAGAAAUCAACCGAGAUUCCCCCAGUAGCGGCGAGCGAACGGGGAGGAGCCCAGAGCCUGAAUCAGCAUGUGUGUUAGUGGAAGCGUCUGGAAAGGCGCGCGAUACAGGGUGACAGCCCCGUACACAAAAGCGCAUGUGCUGUGAGCUCGAUGAGUAGGGCGGGACACGUGGUAUCCUGUCUGAAUAUGGGGGGACCAUCCUCCAAGGCUAAAUACUCCUGACUGACCGAUAGUGAACCAGUACCGUGAGGGAAAGGCGAAAAGAACCCCGGCGAGGGGAGUGAAAAAGAACCUGAAACCGUGUACGUACAAGCAGUGGGAGCACAGGUUUACCUGUGUG
RNAcentral lists this ribosomal RNA (422 nucleotides) under Salmonella enterica subsp. enterica serovar Muenster. RNAcentral's name for it is "partial 23S ribosomal RNA". It matches the Rfam family "Bacterial large subunit ribosomal RNA", at positions 137 to 595 of the family's 2925-position model. Lineage: Bacteria; Pseudomonadati; Pseudomonadota; Gammaproteobacteria; Enterobacterales; Enterobacteriaceae. The record is from RNAcentral. RNAcentral also lists the same sequence under 1 other name.